CACAAGCGGUGGAGCAUGUGGUUUAAUUCGAUGCAACGCGAAGAACCUUACCUGGUCUUGACAUCCACAGAACUUUCCAGAGAUGGAUUGGUGCCUUCGGGAACUGUGAGACAGGUGCUGCAUGGCUGUCGUCAGCUCGUGUUGUGAAAUGUUGGGUUAAGUCCCGCAACGAGCGCAACCCUUAUCCUUUGUUGCCAGCGGUCCGGCCGGGAACUCAAAGGAGACUGCCAGUGAUAAACUGGAGGAAGGUGGGGAUGACGUCAAGUCAUCAUGGCCCUUACGACCAGGGCUACACACGUGCUACAAUGGCGCAUACAAAGAGAAGCGACCUCGCGAGAGCAAGCGGACCUCAUAAAGUGCGUCGUAGUCCGGAUUGGAGUCUGCAACUCGACUCCAUGAAGUCGGAAUCGCUAGUAAUCGUGGAUCAGAAUGCCACGGUGAAUACGUUCCCGGGCCUUGUACACACCGCCCGUCACACCAUGGGAGUGGGUUGCAAAAGAAGUAGGUAGCUUAACCUUCGGGAGGGCGCUUACCACUUUGUGAUUCAUGACUGGGGUGAAGUCGUAACAAGGUAACCGUAGGGGAACCUGC
This 591-nucleotide ribosomal RNA is filed under the name Salmonella enterica. Its description in RNAcentral is "bacterial SSU rRNA". It matches the Rfam family "Bacterial small subunit ribosomal RNA", at positions 924 to 1515 of the family's 1533-position model. Lineage: Bacteria; Pseudomonadati; Pseudomonadota; Gammaproteobacteria; Enterobacterales; Enterobacteriaceae. The record is from RNAcentral.